AUUGAACGCUGGCGGCAGGCCUAACACAUGCAAGUCGAACGGAGUGGCGGACGGGUGAGUAUUGUCUGGGAAACUGCCUGGUCGUGGGGGAUAACGUCCGGAAACGGGCGCUAAUACCGCAUACUAUCAGAUGAGCCUAGGUCGGAUUAGCUAGUUGGUGUGGUAACGGCCUACCAAGGCGACGAUCCGUAACUGGUCUGAGAGGAGGAUCAGUGACAAUGGAACUGAGACACGGUCCAGAAUCCUACGGGAGGCAGCAGUGGGGAAUAUGGAACAAGGGGGGAAAGCCUGAUGCAGCCAGGCCGCGUGGGUGAAGAAGGUCUUCGGAUUGUAAAGCACUUUAAGUUGGGAGGCGGUACCAACAGAAGAAGCACCGGCUAACUUCGUGCCAGCAGCCGCGGUAAGAC
Molecule: ribosomal RNA, 407 nt
Filed under: uncultured bacterium
Lineage: Bacteria
Description: partial 16S ribosomal RNA
Rfam family: Bacterial small subunit ribosomal RNA
Source: RNAcentral